This 18672-nucleotide long non-coding RNA is filed under the name Triticum aestivum (bread wheat). RNAcentral's name for it is "long non-coding RNA (TAES_LNC006534)". Lineage: Eukaryota; Viridiplantae; Streptophyta; Magnoliopsida; Poales; Poaceae. The record is from RNAcentral.
AACAAGAGCGGCCCUCCUGAGCACAAGCUGUUUGGAUUCACCUACCUCCGGCUGUCGAAUCAGUUGGUGGAGGGACAAAACUAUGUCAAUUUCAAGACCUUUGUUGACAGAAUGCAUGCCAACCUGGUUAGUGCCACAACCCCUUGUUCAUGCAUGUCAAAAAUUAAACAGAGGAAUCAUUAAUUUGUUGAUUUGCACCGGCCUAUUACAAUAAUGCAAUUUGAUUCUUUUCAGCCUCAUGACCCAUGUGUUGAUCCAGUGGCGCCUUUGCAAAGAUCAGGGCCAGAACUGACGAUUGAAAUGAUCCUACAAGCAGCGCAGCCAAAACUGGAUCCAUUCCCCUUUGAAGAGCACACCGACCUGCGAGUUCAAGGCCUCGGUGGCAUCGGUGGGGAUGUUGAAGGCCCCACUGGUGGCAUGGGUGGGGAGGUUCAAGACCCCACUGGUAGCAUGGGUGGGGAGCUCCCUGCCACCGUGUAAUGAAACCUUUAUGAUCUACAGUACCUUUUAUGUUGUGUGUGACAGAGAAACCUUUCUCUGCCUUAUUAAUAGCAAUAAAUAAAGCACAUCACUUGUGCGUGUUCUGGAAGAAAAAUCUCAGUGCUGGAAGGGUUAAUCUUCUCUUUGUGAGAAUUAACCGUGCCCUAGAAAUAAGCCGAUGAGGAUAAAUAAGAUGUGGUGCUACAGUACAUCAUGAGGAUUACUCAUCAAUAUUGGAUUAGUCAUCAAGAGGAUGCUUUUCCAAUGAGCUGUAGUACAUCAGACCUUACAUACCUCCAUUAUGUGCAUAUGAGUGAAUGAACAAACUAUUUUGUGCUCAUUUAGCGAUUGUAUAUGGGUCCAUCAUUUUGGAUUGCAUGUUCACGAUUACCACUCGCAUGGCUUUGACUAAUGUUACGUGGUAAACUACUAAGUGUCCAAUCUACUUCGUUGGAUUUUUUGACCAUUUUGGAUCAAGAGUUUUAGAAAAAAGUUUCAUCUUCGUAAUCAAGCCGUAAAUUUUGUAUGUAGUUUGGUCGCAGUUUACGAAGCUACUCAAGACGAUCAUAAACUAUCUUUUCUUGGUGAACCGGUCAAUCCUGCUAAAGAAAUUCUAUAUUCAUUGUUCAUGGGUGGGGAAUUCAACAUCCUAUGGUUUCAGCAACGAUAAAAUAAUUAGUUUUACAGUUCUUUCUUAUUCAGCAUUGCCAUUGACAAUUUGGAUCUACCUGAGAUAUUUCUGGACAUCAAUUUACCUGGGCUAAUACCCGGCUAGAGUCGACGUUUGAAAAUAUGGGUCACGUGCCAAUGGAUGCUGGUUGGGAAUUGAAAUUUCUUUUGGUAACAAUACAUGAUUUGGUACGUACCAAAGCAUCGCAAUACACCGCUCAGUCAAGUUCGAAUGGUUUGUUGAUGUAGUCAACAAGGUUUUGGAUGGUCGAUGAUGGGUAGAUCGCCUUCCCAAGGGGUUAAAAAAAAUCCUCACUUUGCAACAGUUCCUCGCAUGGAGGGAGUUCUCCCACUGAAUCGAAUCUCUCCCGCGACCUAGGCUAGGGUUCCAUCCCCCGCGUUCCCGUCCGCCCACUCGCCCCCCUCCCGCCCCCCUCGCGCGGGCGAUGGGCGGGCCCCUGCCGCUCCCUCUCCUCCGGCCCCCCUCCCCGCCCCUCUCCCUCNNNNNNNNNNNNNNNNNNNNNNNNNNNNNNNNNNNNNNNNNNNNNNNNNNNNNNNNNNNNNNNNNNNNNNNNNNNNNNNNNNNNNNNNNNNNNNNNNNNNNNNNNNNNNNNNNNNNNNNNNNNNNNNNNNNNNNNNNNNNNNNNNNNNNNNNNNNNNNNNNNNNNNNNNNNNNNNNNNNNNNNNNNNNNNNNNNNNNNNNNGGCGCGGUCGUUGGCCACGUGGCGGCGUGGCGGUACUGGUGGCCGGCGGCACCGCGCGGCCCAGAUCUGGGCCCUUUCGGGCUCCAUCUGGGCUAGGGUGGGCCGGUGACUGGGUGCGCGGCGACGUUGCUCCCUGGUUGGUGGCGAGGAGGCGGUGGUCUGCGGGAGGUGGCGGCUUCGUCGGCCGGCGAGCUGCUGCGUGACGGUAGGGGCUGUCCGGACCCUUUUGGGUCUGGCCGGGCCUCGGCGCUUGGCAGGCCUCUUGUCCGUGCGUCCGUCCGGCUCCGCGGCAGCAUUGGUGGUUGUCCCCUCACGUCGGCGAUAUUGCAGAUGCCCUUGAGGCCACUAUCUCUUCUUCCGUCCUCCAGGUUGUGUUGGUGACCUCAGGGAGACGACGAAGUUGAUUCGGUGUCCGUGGUGGCACAUGUUGGUGGGCGGCGUGAUGGGCGGUGCACUAUGAUUCGUCUGGGGUGGUGGUGGGGGUUUGGGUUGGGAGAAAUCUCUGGCGGCUCGUUCGGCCCCAACGCGGCGAUGCCUGUGGGUGCCGUCGGACCUCCCUGAAGGGCGUCGGGUACGCUCUCCCCCCACUNNNNNNNNNNNNNNNNNNNNNNNNNNNNNNNNNNNNNNNNNNNNNNNNNNNNNNNNNNNNNNNNNNNNNNNNNNNNNNNNNNNNNNNNNNNNNNNNNNNNNNNNNNNNNNNNNNNNNNNNNNNNNNNNNNNNNNNNNNNNNNNNNNNNNNNNNNNNNNNNNNNNNNNNNNNNNNNNNNNNNNNNNNNNNNNNNNNNNACCCUAGGACUAAUCCGGGUAACAACGGCGUCGUCGUCGCCUCCUUCUUGAAGGUGUUGCUUGGUACGCGGCGCUUCAGAGUGCCGGGAGCGUGGUGGUACUUCUCCGGAGGGUGCAGCGGUCGCCGGUCGUCUUCGUUUCGUUGAUCUGCCAUUGUUGGCAUUUCUUUCUCUUUCUUUUUUCUCUGUUUUUCUUUGGGCUUGUUUGUGCUGCGGCCCCAACACCUAUCGUUGGAUGUAUCGAUGGUUGCUUUGUAAUACAAAGCAAGGAGAAACCCUUUUUCGUAACAGUUCCUCGCAUGAUAGGAAGUAAACACCACGGCAUAUACUAUAAAAAAACGCCCAUAUCCGACCGGGUCCUUUAACUAUGGCACAGCCCAUUAGGACAUACUUUUAUAGUAUGUAUUUUUUAUCUUCAACGUGUUAAAAUAUUAUUAUAAAUAGAUUUAUAACAAAAAGUUUUUGUGUACUGGGAACAAGUGUAGUGUGUUUUAAAAUAAAUGUGCAUGACGUCAAAAACGAAUGUUUACAUAGCUCGCUAGGGAUGUUUAUGUAUUCGUGAACAAAAUGUUAAUAUGUAUAAAAAAGGUUAAUGACUUCAUAAACAGUUUUAUGAACUUCAAAUAUUUUUUCUUAUAUACCUUUCUUUGCAAUGAAUGUGGAAUACGGUUGACGGGGAGUUUCGAUAUGACGGCCUUAAGCGGGAACUGUUGGAGCAAAUGUCGAAAGUAAAUCUCCAUAAUUAUAUUUAGUCUGGAAAAUGGUUUUAAAUUUUAAACGUAUGUGUUGCAAAAAAAAAAAGUUCACCUAUACGAAUAAUGCUCAUGUAUCAGGAAUACAAUUUGGUGACGAAUCAUAAAAAUAUAUUUCCAUAUGUGAGAAAGCAUUCACUUAUUUCAAGCCAGGAUGAUCAUGGUAUGGAAAUGUGACAUAAAGCAAUGUUCAUGUAUAAGAAAAAUUGUCCUCAUAUAUACUGUACAACUCCUUUUUUAUCGAGGUGUCGUGAGCUGCUAUGCGUAUAGGAAUUUGCCGAGUUUAAGGGCUGGCCGGUUGUUCUGCUCCUAGUUUUUUUGUGGCACAGUAUAAUCAAAGUCCCUCACAUACACGAGCAUAUAUCUGCCCUUAUGAACGCACACCAUAUCCCUAUAAGCAUCUUAAAAGACUGAGUUGGCAUAACAUCUUGAGAUUUCACAUAGUCACCACAAGCGCCUCGCAGUUGACGGAAAUGUUUCCUACGGGUUUACGGGCUGGCCGUUUGUUUUGCUCGAGUAAUGCUACAUUCACGGAUGAUUAUGAGGGUUUUACAGGGUCAUUAUGACUUGGCAAAUGGUUAUUGAGUUAAGGGGGAGGGAGGGGCCCCACCCACCUGAACCUCCCCGUAAUCAUCUGUGAAUGAAUUAAUGCUCCCCGAAAAAAAAAACAUCCGUGAAUGUAGCAUUAUUAAUUCUACUCCUCGUUUUGGGUUGAGAGUGAUGGCUCGUAGGAGUUUAUCGGUCCCCGGAAGAAUCACUCUCCCGGCAUGAUGGACCCUAGUUUCUUAGCUCUGGCGGCGACCCAAAAUGAUGCCUCCCUUUUGAUGUUGUCGAGAAGAACCGUAGGCGGAGCGGCCAUGUUGCGGAAUACACGGGCGUUUCACCCGUUCCAGAUCGUCCAUGUAGUGAGCAUGGUGAGCGAGGCCAUGGCCUUCCGGUUGGGGACGGAAGUAUCUGUCAACCCAAGCCACCAGUCUAAGGUGGAAUGCCUUAGGGGCCAAGUGGAGGUGUCAACGUGAAUGAGUUGUAGCCACACCUUGACCAAGCCCCAUAGGCGAAUGGUGAAACGGCAUUUGAAGAAGAGAUGGUUAACCGACUCAUUCUCACGCAUGCAUAAGGGGCAUGAGCCACAUGUUGGAAAUAUGCCCUAGAGGCAAUAAUAAAAUGAUUAUUAUAUUUCCUUGUUCAUGAUAAUUGUCUAUUAUUCAUGCUAUAAUUGUGUUAUCCGGAAAUCGUAAUACAUGUGUGAAUACAUAGACCACAACACGUCCCUAGUGAGCCUCUAGUUGACUAGCUCGUUGACCAAAAGAUAGUCACGAUUUCCUGACUAUGGACAUUGGAUGUCAUUGAUAACGGGAUCACAUCAUUAGGAGAAUGAUGUGAUGGACAAGACCCAAUCCUAAGCAUAGCUCAAAGAUCGUGUAGUUCGUUUGCUAUAGCUUUUCCGAAUGUCAAGUAUCAUUUUCUUAGACCAUGAGAUUGUGCAACUCCCGGAUACCGUAGAAGUGCUUUGGGUGUGCCAAACAUCACAACGUAACUGGGUGACUAUAAAGGUACACUACGGGUAUCUCUGAAAGUGUCUGUUGGGUUGGCACGAAUCGAGUCUGGGAUUUGUCACUCCGUAUGACGGAGAGGUAUCUCUGGGCCCACUCGGUAAUGCAUCAUCAUAAUAAGCUCAAUGUGACCAAGUGGUUCAUCACGGGAUCAUGCAUUACGGAACGAGUAAAGAGACUUGCCGGUAACGAGAUUGAACGAGGUAUUGGGAUACCGAUGAUCGAGUCUCGGGCAAGUAACGUACCGAUUGAAAAAGGGAAUUGAAUACGGGAUUGAUUAAGUCCUCGACAUCGUGGUUCAUCCGAUGAGAUCAUCGAGGAGCAUGUGGGAGCCAACAUGGGUAUCCAGAUCCCGCUGUUGGUUAUUGACCGGAGAGGCGUCUCGGUCAUGUCUGCGUGUCUCCCGAACCCGUAGGGUCUACACACUUAAGGUUCGGUGACGCUAGGGUUGUAGAGAUAUUAGUAUGCAGUAACCCCGAAAGUUGUUCAUAGUCCCAGAUGAGAUCCUGGACGUCACGAGGAGUUCCAGAAUGGUCCGGAGGUAAAGAUUUAUAUAUAGGAAGUCCAGUUUCGGCCAGCGGGAAGGUUUCGGGGGUUACCGGUAUUGUACCGGGACCACCGGAAGGGUCCCGGGGGUCCAUCGGAUGGGGCCACCUAUCCCGGAGGGCCCCAUGGGCUGAAGUGGCAUGGGAACCAGCCCCUGAUGGGCUGGUGCGCCCCACCCAAGGGCCCAAGGCGCCUAGGGUUGGAAACCCUAGGGGGCCGUUGCCCCCCGAGGGGGCAUGCGCCCCCCUGGUUGGAAACCCUAAGGGGGCCGUUGCCCUCAGGCCCCCCCUUUUAGAUGGGAUCUCCCCCCUAGCCCCUAUAUAUAGUGGAAGGGAGGGAGGGCAGCCACACCUUGCUCUUGGCGCCUCCCUCUCCCUCCGUAACACCUCUCCUCCCCGCUUGUGCUUGGCGAAGCCCUGCCGGGAUCCUGCUGCAUCCACCACCACGCCGUCGUGCUGCUGGAUCUUCAUCAACCUCUCCUUCCCCCUUGCUGGAUCAAGAAGGAGGAGACGUCUUCCCAACCGUACGUGUGUUGAACGCGGAGGUGCUGUCCGUUCAGCACUUGGUCAUCGGUGAUUUGGAUCACGGCGAGUAGGACUCCAUCAUCUCCGUUCACUUGAACGCUUUCGCUCGCGAUCUACAAGGAUAUGUAGAUGCACUCCGAUUCCCCUCGUUGCUAGAAUACUCCAUAGAUUGAUCUUGGUGAUGCGUAGAAAAUUUUUAAUUUCUGCUACGAUCCCCAACACCACAGUUAGGCCAACCGCGCUUGGCCAAUCGGUCCAGACUCUAUUUUGGAUGGCCAGCCAAGCAAAGAACUUGACCUUGGGUGGAGCCCAAAUUUUCCACACUGCAUGCUUCAAGGGAGAGCGAAUGAGGCCAAGAAAUUGCGCUUUGUAGGCGGACUCCGCCGAAUAGAGGCCACUAGUAAAAUGCUUCCAAACAAUCUCGUCGUCAAUAUCCUCAUGUAGAUGGAAAUCCCGGAUGGUGGCCCAAAGCUCGAGAAAUUGUCUGAAGUGCUCUAUAGAAAAACUGGACGUCAUCUUGAUCUGUUUAACCCAAGCACCAUCCUUUAGUGCUUCCCGCACCUUCCAAUUCUUACGCCGCGUAGAUGAGAGGGGCCAUAUCCAUGGGUUUGCGGUUGUGCACCCAUGGAGAGUCCCAAAAGGUGGUGUGCGCGCCAUUUCCCACGAUAAUAAUUGAGGAGGCAUAGAAGAAGUUGUAGUCCGCGUUAUCGCACGGGUUGUCCAUGCCAACCCACAUUUUAGUUGGGUCCUUCCAUUCAAACCAUACCCAACGAAGCAUCAGUGUCCUAGCAAAUUUCUCCAUGUUUAGCACUUUAAGACCCCAAUUGGCAAUUGGGCGGCAAACGGUGUCUCAAUUAACAUUGCAUUUGGCCCGGUGGUCUUGUCCGUUCCCUCCCAAAGGAACGCUGGCUCAAGCUUGUUGAGAUUUUUGAGGGCGACUUCAUCGUGUGGUACAGUGAAAACGUACGUUCCAUGCUGUACACGGCGCCAGAUAUGGUCUACGUCAGGUCCAGGUCGUAACAAGAAACGGAAACACGAGGCGACGAUCGCGUUUGGAAGGAUGCGCAUGAAUGGACUAGCUUUCGCCUACCGCCCACCGAGCGGCGAGAGCGCAACCUACAUCGACCAACUACCCAGCUGACCUCUACAGACCGGACUUGAAUGUAUGCACUACCUACGUGCUACGUCGGCGGCGAUGGCCGCGUACGCUGGCUACGUGCCGCAUGCAUGGCGAGCUCGGCCCGUGCGUGGCCAGCUAUAGAUACGUACCCCAUGAGUCCCUAGAAACACCUGCCACUGCGAGAGCGAGCGUGUGAGUAGAUCGACGACGAUGACAGACAUGGCCGUGAUGCUGGUGGUGCUGGUAGUGCUGGCCUCAGCUAGGCUAGUUACUCUAGCUGAGUUAGUUCUGUGGUACGCAAGUAUGUUGGUAUGAUCGAAUAAAACGAUGGUGAUCUACGGCGCCAGGCUGCUGGACGCGUCCGACUGCAUCUUGGAGCAGCGCCGGACGGCCCCUCAUAUGUCCUGCCGGACAGGCACUCUCCUCGUAUGGCAAAAUGAAAUUCAAUGUCCUAGACACGGCUGGAUAACGUGAUAAAUCACUCGCCACACGCCAUCCGUGCCGCAUGCUCUGUCAGCAUCCGUGUCGUGUGAUCUAUUGCCAUCCGUUACGCCAACGCCGCCUUGAACUCUCUAUGCAUGGUGAUCUCCUUCUUCCUCCUCUCAAGUCACUUCUUGCCUUCGGCAUCUAAGAGGCUUGCGUCCGUUAAUAUUAUCAUAGAAUCCUCCGUGUCUUGAGCCAGCUGCAACCUCUCCAUUUCAAUCUCUACGGUUCCAAAAGUUCAGGCUUUCUUGAGCUCCCAUUUUGGACACACCUCCUUCUUCUCCAAACUAUCCUCUCCUCAAUUUCUAACUCUCGUUGCUUUACUGAAAAAGGCUUUCGCCCCGCUUUAUAUAUAAAGCAAAGAUUAUCAACAACCCGGUACAACGCACGCCACCAGAAUACACGCACACACCCAGGGCAGGAUACAUAGGCGCUGAGCGCAGCAACACCACCCAUAGCACUACAAUAGCAACCGGGGGCCUCAACCGUGAACACGCCACCGCGAAGAGAAGAAGCUACAUACGAUGAACCGUGGGCUCCAAAGCGGUGCCAACAGGAAGGUUACGACACUGAAGCGCCGCCACCGCCCGACCCAAGGAUCAGGGUUUCCCCUGAAGCAACACGACGGGCAGUGAGAGCCGCGUAGACGCCUUCAAGAAGGGAACGAGCUUUGCCGUCGCUGGUCCGUCCGAAGAUAGAACAUGUUUUCACCACCACCGAACGUCACACCCUGGCUACCAUGCCGCCCACACGGCCAUGGCCACCAGGCAGCACCAAGCCACGAGCUUUGCCCAUGAGCACCGCGACACCACCACCAGGGCCGCCGCCCCGGCAUCCAGGAUCUCGAUGCCACCUCACCCACCACCCACCUCUACCCCAACCAAAGAGACGAGUGGAAAGGAACCGCCUUUCGUACCCCUGAGCAGUCAACGGGCAGCCCCGAGCCAGCGCCACCAUCCUCGCCGCCAAGGGCCGCCGCAUGCAAGGUCGGCCGAAGCCCACACCGCCGCCAGCGCCACCACCAGCACGAACCACCACCACCGCGCCGCCACUCCACCGACCACCGCAGAGACGGCUUCCCACAAAGUACCCAGCCCGCGCCGCCCGCCAGAUCUGGCCGCCGCUGCAACAGCCGGCGUCAGUGCAUGGACUGGCACGCCCCGCCCCUGCACAGCCCACCUCACCGCCAGCAAGGCCCCGAGCUUCCUCCACGCCAACCCACCACCACGUCCCGCGCACCGCAGCGCCCAAGACCAACAUCGCCGGCCCGCGCCAGCCCCUGACGAGCGAGGGGGUGAGAAGUGCCCGCCGCCGCCGGCCAGGCUUCGCCCGGCCGCGCCCUUUGGCGGCGGUGGGAGGGGGAGGGAGAGGCGGGCGGCGGCUAGGGUUCCUCCCCUGCCGCCCGCGGGAGCGCCAGAGGAGGAGGAGGUCGCGUUGACAGUUGUAUUUUGGGCCACUCAUUGCUUUCAUUUGCAACUUAUUGUUUAUCUUCUUCCAGUCCUAAUCCAUCCUCUCUUUAUUCACAGACAAGAUGAGUUUGUACCUCUCCUCUUUUGUGUCCCCCCUUGUGGAAAACUGCGUGCCCAUGUGAUGGACAUUUUUGAUGUCGUGGCAUCACGAACAAUCCUACGCUUCUCCUGAUGAGGUCACCUACUACAGGUAGGGUCAAGGACCUGUCAUAUGGAACCCACCUAGGGCCCCACACCAUCAUCGGUAGGUCUCUGGACCAUAGGUGCAUUCGGAUGCGUAUAACAAAAAGUCGAUUCGAACGCACGGACAUCACUCGGAUGCCUACCCUCCAAUCGGCAUGACCACCACCACUCGGACAAGGGAGGUGGAAGGAUGACAUGGGAGCUGCAACGGUCGAGUAGUCUUAAGUCGAACUUUAAGUAGAGUCAUAGCUACCAUUACAUGUAGCUAUCAUUGAUGGGGUUAUGUACCUAGGGUAGGGUCAUGGACCUGUUCCAAGUAACUUACCCUAGGACAUCCCUAGAAGAGGUCGCCUUCCAGUCGACCAACGAGGAUUCACUCGACUGGCCUGAAGGACUCGACCAUGAAGACUCACUCGACCACCAGGAGGUCAAGAGGCACUCUGCACCGCAACGGCCUGUAAUUAAGUAGACUUUAUGAUAGUAAAGGCACUUUAUGUGGGGCGUUACCAGUAACGCCCCAGACUUAACUCACCUUAAACCCUCUCCUACGUGGGCUGGCUGGGGUCCUGGCGCACUCUAUAUAAGCCACCCCCCUCCACAGGCAGAAGGGUUCGGCACCUUGUAAUCCAUACAUUCAUAAUCCACUCGACCGCCUCCGGGCUCCGAGACGUAGGGCUGUUACUUCUUCCGAGAAGGGCUUGAACUCGUACAUCCUUUGUGCUUACAACCUCUCCAUAGCUAGGACCUUGCCUCUCCAUACCUACCCCCCACUCUACUGUCAGGCUUAGAACCACGACAGUUGGCGCCCACCGUGGGGCAGGUGUUUUAGCGAUUUUGUGGAGAAGUUGCGAUUCUUCCGAGUACUUUCAUCAUGGUGUCUGCUGGAAUUUUGGUCGAGGGUCAAGAGAUCCGUCUCGGCGCUCUCGCCUUCAUCGCCGACGACUCCGCAUGGCUCCAGGAGGCUCCACUCGACGUAGAUGCGCUCCCCGUCCGCGGUGCGACGCAUUUUCGCGCAUGUGUCCGCGGCGUUCUGCUGCGGCAACCAUCGACUCAGUAUCGGUCGGCUCCUCCAUCUUCCACCCUCCCGGUCUCCCGCCAGCGCAAGCGCUCAGGCCGGUCGAGGCUUCAGCGAUGGGUGAGUCACGCGGUGGCUCGCCAGUCAGCCACUACACAAGUUGCGGCAAUCGAGCCCAACGAAUCUCUCUACGGCUUGUUCGAUCAGUCGACUGGCUCCGGAGAGACUGCAUCCGAGUGCGGAAGCAGUGAUCCAGUGGCGGAAAUCUUGAUGGUCGACGGGCCCCACAGUCCUCCUGGCUUCGCCCGUGGUGGUGGAGCAGGCGACGGCGGCGACCCUGCACGAGGCUACGAAGAGUACCAGCCCGAGCCACUCGACUCUCUGCAAAGAGAAGAGCUUCGCCGCAGGAACGAGGAUCCCCUGCGUAUUCCCAUCGCAGGAGAAACCCCCGAGGCUCGUGCCUUGGAGGAGGCGCGUCUGGCCAAUUUGGCCGAGCGCACUCGACUGGAGAACCUUCAGCGAGCACUCGACGAGCGCGCGCGGCAACGAGUUCCCGACACCAGUCGACGUCAACUCUUCCCGCCGACUCAGGUAUAUCGAACCCCAAUUCAGAAUUUAGCAGCUGCGACCCGUAUAGCAGAGUCCAUUCAGCCUUCGCAGUCGGAAGCUGGCAGAGGUUUGCUGCAAAUCAGGGAUCUGCUCCGGGCAGCAGGAGAUCAGAAUUCAGCCGUGUCUCAGUCGCGCAACAGAAUUCACAGUCGAUCUGUCACUGUGAAUACGGUUCAGUCGGCUCACAGCCCCAGAUCGCCUCCGCGGCGCGAAGGGCGUGAGAAUCGGCGAGAUCAAUAUGGCGACAGACUCGACCGAGAUGAUAGGCGUCGAGUGCCCUAUUCCCCUCCGAGGGGUGGGUCUUACGCUCCUCGGCAGCCAGAUGAUAGGCGUCAGUACAGUACAGGGCGUAGGGUUCCAGUUGACCCCAGAGAGCCAGGCUUCGACGCGCGAUCCAUUAUCGUGCAAGGGUUGGUCGACCGGAACAGAGCCCAUCGAGGCGCACUCGACAGAGAUGUGCCCACGAGCAGUCAAGUACAUGUUUCUGGUCCUGAAUGUUUCAGCAGAGCUAUCAGAGCCGCAGUUAUUCCCCCCAAUUUCAGGUUGGCAACAGGAGUCAGCAAGUUCACUGGUGAGUCUAAGCCUGAAACUUGGCUUGAAGACUACCGAGUGGCAGUUCAGAUCGGUGGUGGGAACGACGAGGUGGCCAUGAAGCAUUUGCCCCUCAUGUUGGAAGGUUCUGCCAGGGCAUGGUUGACUCAAUUGCCUCCUAGCAGCAUUUACACUUGGGAAGAUCUGUCCCGAGUGUUCGUCAGAACGUUCGAAGGGACUUGCAAGCGACCAGCGGGAUUGACAGAGUUGCAAGUCUGCAUGCAGAAAACCAAUGAGACUCUCAGAGAGUAUAUUCAGAGGUGGAUCACUUUGCACCACACUGUGGAAAAUGUCUCUGACCAUCAGGCAGUAUGCGCCUUCAAAGAUGGUGUCAAGAACAGAGAACUGAGUUUGAAAUUUGGUCGAACCGGUGACAUGACCUUGAGUCGGAUGAUGGAGAUUGCUACCAAGUAUGCCAACGGCGAAGAAGAAGACCGACUCCGAAGCGGCAAGCACAAGCCGAGUCAGUCGGAAAAAGGAAACACCAGUCGGAAACAGAAGCGGAAGGCUGAACCGGCAGCUCCUGGAGAGGCUCUGGCCGUGACUCAAGGAAAGUUUAAGGGGAAACCAAAAGGAUCCUGGAACCCCAAGAAGGUAAAGGAUAAAGAAGGGAACGACGUGAUGGAUAUGCCGUGUCAUAUUCACACGAAGAAAGAUGAAGAGGGGAAUAUCAUUUACCCAAAGCACACCACUCGCCAAUGUCGACUCCUGAUCCAGCAGUUUCAGGGAAAACAGUCUAAGGACAAGGAGAAGGAGCCGGACAAGGCCGAAGACAAAGAUGACAGUGAGGGAGGAUAUCCGCAUAUCAACUCCACUCUGAUGAUCUUCGCAGAUGUGGAAAGCAGAAGUCGACUGAAAGUGAUUAACCGAGAGGUUAACAUGGUUGCCCCAGCAAAGGCAAAUUAUCUGAAGUGGUCUCAAACACCCAUCACAUUCGACCAAUCUGAUCACCCGAAUCAUAUUGCCACCCCUGGGAGGCAAGCUUUGGUGGUCGAUCCAGUUGUCGAAGGCACUCGACUGACAAAGGUGCUGAUGGACGGUGGGAGUGGGUUGAAUCUGUUAUAUGCAGACACGUUGAAAGGUAUGGGCAUUUCGAUGUCCCGGCUGAGCACUAGUAACAUGAGCUUCCAUGGAGUUAUACCAGGGAAGAAGGCCGAGUCACUCGGCCAGAUAGCUUUGGACGUAGUGUUUGGCGAUUCAAAGCAUUUUCGCAAAGAAAAGUUGACGUUUGAGGUCGUGGAUUUUCAAAGUGCAUAUCAUGCCAUUUUGGGGAGACCAGCCUAUGCACGGUUCAUGGCUCGACCAUGUUACGUGUACCUCAAAUUGAAGAUGCCCGGUCCCAAAGGUGUGAUCACUGUCACCGGUGAUAGGAAAAAGGCUGAGGAGUGCUUUCAGAAGGGCUCCAAAAUUGCCGAUUCCCAAGUGACAGCGGUCGAGUUCGAAGAAUACAAGCAAAACGCAGAUCCGAGUGACUUGCUGCGAUCCAAGAAGCCCGCCACAGAAUCUGCAUUCCAGUCGUCCGGUGAGACGAAGCCUGUUCACAUUCACCCGACCGACCCCGAAGCAGCUCCGACCCGCAUCUCCACAACACUCGACCCAAAAUAGGAAGAAGCGCUCAUCCAGUUCCUCCGUGAGAACUGGGACAUUUUUGCAUGGAAGCCCGCUGACAUGCCAGGUGUUCCCAGGGGACUGGCUGAGCAUCGCCUAAGAGUCGACUCGUCUGCAAAGCCAGUCAAAGAACAUCUUCGGCGGUCCGCCGUCCAGAAGAGAAAGGCCAUCGGUGAAGAAGUGGCUCGACUGUUGGCGGCAGGAUUUAUCCGAGAGAUAUUCCACUCCGAGUGGCUCGCUAAUGUCGUCAUGGUUCCUAAAAAGGACAAGUCGCUCCGAAUGUGCAUUGAUUUCAAGCACAUCAACAGGGCCUGCCCGAAAGAUCACUUUCCUCUCCCUCGCAUAGAUCAAAUUGUUGACUCGACCGCGGGAUGCGAGAGGUUGUCUUUUUUAGAUGCUUACUCCGGGUACCACCAGAUCCGUCUAUAUGGGCCCGAUGAAGUAAAAACAGCUUUCAUCACUCCAUUCGGGUGCUUCUGCUAUAUCACCAUGCCAUUCGGCCUCAAGAAUGCCGGAGCCACAUUUAUGCGAAUGAUCCAGAAGUGUCUACUCACUCAAAUCAGUCGGAAUGUGGAAGCUUAUAUGGAUGAUAUUGUUGUCAAGUCACGAAAAGGUUCCGACCUGCUCGCUGACCUCGCCGAAACAUUUGCCAACCUCAGAAGGUAUGAUAUCAAGCUCAAUCCAUCAAAGUGCACAUUUGGAGUUCCUGGUGGCAAGUUACUCGGUUUUCUCGUUUCCGAACGGGGAAUCGACGCCAACCCAGAAAAGAUUGGCACUAUUCUCCGAAUGAAACGCCCUGUGCGAGUGCACGAUGUCCAGAAGCUUACUGGAUGCUUGGCCGCAUUAAGUCGAUUCAUCUCACGACUCUGUGAAAAGGCAUUGCCUCUUUACCGACUGAUGAAGAAGGCUGACAAGUUCGAGUGGACUCCAGAAGCUGAUGCAGCGUUUGCCGAGCUAAAAGCUCUGCUCUCCACCCAGCCGGUGCUUGCUGCUCCAAUCAGCAAAGAGCCUCUGUUGCUCUACAUCGCAGCCACAGGACAAGUCGUCAGUACUGUGCUAACGGUCGAGCGGGAAGAAGAAGGAAAAGCUCUCAAAGUUCAGCGCCCAGUGUAUUAUUUGUCUGAAGUCUUGACUCCAUCCAAGCAGAGAUAUCCUCAUUAUCAGAAGCUUGUGUAUGGAAUAUACAUGACCACAAAGAAGGUUGCUCAUUAUUUCUCUGACCAUUCAAUCACAGUCGUCAGCGACACUCCACUAUCAGAGAUUUUGCACAACAGAGAUGCAACUGGUCGAGUGGCCAAAUGGGCGAUUGAACUUCUUCCCCUUGAUAUCAAGUUUGAGGCAAAGAAAGCCAUUAAGUCCCAGGCAAUAGCAGAUUUCCUCGCCGAGUGGAUCGAACAGCAGCAGCCGACUGAAGUUCACUCGGAGCAUUGGACCAUGUUUUUCGAUGGUUCUAAGAUGUUGAAUGGUUCCGGUGCUGGGGUUGUCCUGGUUUCCCCCAGAGGAGAUAAGCUCAGAUAUGUGCUCCAGAUUCACUUUGAUUCCUCCAACAAUGAGGCAGAAUAUGAGGCCCUCCUAUAUGGGUUGCGCAUGGCCAUUUCACUCGGCGUCCGUCGCCUAAUGGUCUAUGGCGACUCGGAUUUAGUGGUCAAUCAGGUGAUGAAAGAGUGGGACGUGAGAAGCCCAGCCAUGACUGGAUACUGCAGUGCAGUGAGGAAGCCGGAGAAAAAGUUCGAGGGGUUGGAGCUCCAUCAUAUACCCCGACUGAAAAAUCAAGCAGCUGAUGAUCUAGCAAAGAUAGGUUCCAAGAGAGAAGCCAUUCCGAGUGGUGUGUUCUUGGAGCAUAUACAUACUCCGUCAGUCAAAGAAGAUCCUUUCACCGAAGAAACUCCGCAGCCCAAGAGUGCCACAGAUCCGACUGAAGUUGAAGUCCCAGCGGUGGUCGACUUGAUCAUGGAGGUUUUGGUAGUCAUUCCCGACUGGACGAUUCCGUAUGUCGCAUAUAUCUUGAGGAAAGAGCUUCCGGAGGAUGAGGAAGAGGCUCGACAGAUCGUCCGUCGAUCUAAGGCCUUUACCGUCAUCAAAGGACAAUUAUACAGAGAGAGCACGACUGGAGUCGGUCAGAAGUGCAUAACACCAGAAGAAGGUCGUCUCAUCCUCAAUGAUAUUCACUCGGGGACCUGUGGUCAUCAUGCGUCCUCCCGGACCAUCGUGGCCAAAGCAUACCGAGCCGGAUUUUACUGGCCCAAGGCGAAUGAGAUGGCAAAGGAGAUAGUGGAUAAGUGCGAGGGAUGUCAGUUCUACUCGAAUAUGUCGCACAAACCUGCGUCAGCUUUGAAGACCAUCCCACUCGUCUGGCCUUUUGCAGUCUGGGGGCUGGACAUGGUCGGCCCUUUGAGAACAGGACGAAGUGGCUUCACGCAUGUACUGGUGGCAGUCGACAAGUUCACCAAGUGGAUCGAGGCUAAACCAAUCAAGAGCCUCGACACCGGUACUGCUGUUAGCUUCAUCAGGGAACUAAUAUUCAGAUAUGGAGUCCCGCACAGCAUCAUUACGGAUAAUGGGUCGAACUUUGACUCAGAGGAAUUCAGAACCUUCUGCAACUCCCAGGGCACACGGGUCGACUACGUAUCAGUCGCCCAUCCGCAGUCGAAUGGACAAGCAGAGCGAGCUAAUGGACUGAUUCUCAAGGGACUGAAGCCGCGACUGAUGCGUGAUCUCAAACACGCGGCUGGAGCUUGGGUCGACGAACUUCCAUCUGUACUCUGGGGACUGCGGACCACGCCCAAUCGGUCGACCGGAAGAACUCCAUUCUUCUUGGUCUAUGGAGCCGAAGCAGUCUUGCCGAGUGAUCUUCUCCACAAUGCUCCUCGAGUCGAAAUCUACAACGAAGCAGAAGCUGAACAAGCGCGGCAGGACGCAGUCGACCUUUUAGAGGAAGAAAGGGAGAUGGCUCUGAUCCGGUCGACCAUCUACCAACAAGAUCUGCGCCGUUUCCACGCCCGAAAUGUGAGAGGUCGAGCCUUCCAGGAAGGGGAUUUGGUUCUCCGAGUGGAUCAGCACAAACCACACAAGCUUGCUCCUUCUUGGGAAGGCCCCUUCAUCGUCACCAAGGUUCUCCACAACAGGGCGUACCGUCUUUACAACGUCGAGCAUAAUAUCGACGAGCCCCGAGCUUGGAACGCGGAGCUACUCCGCCCAUUUUACACUUAAGUUUUAUCACUCGGAUGAGUUGCAAUAAAGUACUUUUGUAGUUCAUGGGUUUAGAAAUAAUUGUGUCAUCACUUUUUAUUUUUGUCCACAUAAAAACUCCCCCUCAGUGGGUGGCUUAGCCGCGAAUCCGUUUCGCCUAAGUUUGUAAAAAUCCUAUCGAGUGGUGAGCCAGACUCUCACUCGGAGGCUUAGCUGCGAAUCCGUUUCGCCUAAGUUUAUCAAAAUCCUACCGAGUGGUAAGCCAGCCUUCCACUCGGGGGCUUAGCUGCAGUCCAAGCACUCGCCUAAGUUUAUCAAAAUCCUACCGAGUGGUAAGCCAGCCUUCCACUCGGGGGCUUAGCUGCAGUCCAAGUGCUCGCCUAAGUUAUAAAAAUCCUACCGAGUGAAGAGCAACCCUCUCACUCGGGGGCUUAGCUGCAGUCCAAGCACUCGCCUAAGUUGUGAAAAUCCUACCGAGUGAAGAGCGAUCCUCUCACUCGGGGGCUUAGCUGCAGCCUCGUGCUCGCNNNNNNNNNNNNNNNNNNNNNNNNNNNNNNNNNNNNNNNNNNNNNNNNNNNNNNNNNNNNNNNNNNNNNNNNNNNNNNNNNNNNNNNNNNNNNNNNNNNNNNNNNNNNNNNNNNNNNNNNNNNNNNNNNNNNAAUCCUACCGAGUGAAGAGCAACCCUCUCACUCGGGGGCUUAGCUGCAGUCCAAGCACUCGCCUAAGUUGUGAAAAUCCUACCGAGUGAAAAGCGAUCCUCUCACUCGGGGGCUUAGCUGCAGUCCAAGCACUCACCUAAGUUUAUCAAAAUCCUACCGAGUGGUAAGCCAGCCUUCCACUCGGGGGCUUAGCUGCAGUCCAAGGGCUCGCCUAAGUUAUAAAAAUCCUACCGAGUGAAGAGCGACCCUCUCACUCGGAGGCUUAGCUGCAGCCCAGUGCUCGCCUAAGUGGACUAAAGAAUAAGUCGAUUGCGGUACAGGCACCUUGCUUUGAACCUGCAAAAGACAUUCCGAGCCGAAGGCAAUCAUAUUCAAGCGCCAAAUUCAAGUUUGAAUCGAUAUCUAAAGGAACCGAAAGUGCUCGGGCGUCAAGCCUGUUAAGGUUUGUCGGUUACAAUUCCACUCGGCAUACCGAGGCAAAUUUAAAGUGUCGAGCCAGAAGAAGUUUUUUACCCCUCCUGCGGAGGGCUGGAAGGUGCAACAAAUUCAUCAAGGUCAAUUCCGUCGGCGAUCCGAGUGGCAGCUGCAAGGAAAGUCUCCAUAAAGGACCUGAAGUCGUGCUUCUUGGUAUUGGCCACCCGAAGGGCCGCCAGCUUCUCCUCUCGUGCAUCUUUGCAGUGGACUCGGGCCAGACACAGAGCGACAUCUGCACCACACCGAGCCGAGGACUUCUUCCACUCCUGCACUCGACCAGGGAUCGUGUUCAAGCGGGCCAUCAGCGACUCAAGGUCAUUCUGAAGUGUCUCCUCAGGCCAGAGCGUCGAGUCGAUGCGAGAUGUGGCGGCCUUCAGCCUUGCGAGAUAGUCCACGACAGCUGCGACACGAGACUCCAGUCGGAAAACAUCCAUGGCAACUUCGUCGUUCACCGGAGAAUUGACGGGGUCAAGGUUUGGCUCCAGUCGGCUGGUUUCCUCUUCAAAGUUUUGACAAAAUUCUGCAAGGGCGAUCACUAAGUCAAGGGGAUAGUCGAAUGGAAGAAGCCACAGUUGGAAAUAUUUGCCAAACAUGGAGGUUUACCUUCAAGCAUAAGAAACAGCUUCUUGGCAAGGCCACUCAGGAAGGCCUCCAGUUCAGUUUUCUUCUCAGUCAAUUUGCUGACUUGGUCGGUCAAGGCAGCUUUGUCAGUUCUCAGUCGACUGACUUCCUUGUUGGCAAUCCCAAGAGCAGUUUUCAGAUUGGUAUUGUCUUGUUCGAGCUUGGUGACUGAAGCUAACUUCUCGUCAGCAAGCUUGAUCUUCUCAGCUAGCUCAAGGUCUUUCUUCUGCUGGGCCUCCCUUACCUUACCUGCAAGUUACAGCGAGAUCAGAUGCCGAAACAAGCAAGGGGAAAAGCAGUCGUCAGGGUCUCACCAAACAUACCUUCGGUCUCCUCCUUUGCCUUUGUCAGCUUCUCCUGAACCAGCUUCAAGCUCAGCUCGACUUGAGUAUGCUUUUGUUCCAGCUCUGAGUAGCGAGCCACAAGAUCACAGGAGUUCUGCGAAGAACCAAUCGACUAAACGUCAAAUGUAACUCACUUCCGAGUGAAAAAGGGAAAAACACACGUUUCUAAGACUACAGCCGAAUACAAGCAUUCGACCGUAGUCUCGGGGACUACACCCAGUGGGUGCACUCAGCGUGCCCCCACUAAUCCUGUUGAAGACAAAGUCGACCAGUCGACCUCAAAAAAAAAAAACA